Molecule: ribosomal RNA, 209 nt
Filed under: uncultured bacterium
Lineage: Bacteria
Description: partial 16S ribosomal RNA
Rfam family: Bacterial small subunit ribosomal RNA
Source: RNAcentral
GACGGAAGGUGCAAGCGUUGCUCGGAAUCACUGGGCGUAAAGGGUGCGUAGGCGGCUUGGUAAGUUGGGUGUGAAAGCCCCGGGCUCAGCCCGGGAAGGGCACUCGAAACUGCCGAGCUGGAGUGCCGGAGGGGAGAGUGGAAUUCCUGGUGUAGCGGUGAAAUGCGUAGAUAUCAGGAGGAAUACCGGUGGCGAAAGCGACUCUCGUG